AGGCUCGCUUCGGCGGGU
RNAcentral lists this small nuclear RNA (18 nucleotides) under Arabidopsis thaliana (thale cress). RNAcentral's name for it is "snRNA_05688". The record is from RNAcentral. Lineage: Eukaryota; Viridiplantae; Streptophyta; Magnoliopsida; Brassicales; Brassicaceae.